AUGGCAAUGGGCAUGGAGGUCGAUCAGGACCUCCCCGGCUUCCGCUUCCACCCCACGGAGGAGGAGCUCCUCGGCUUCUACCUCUCCCGCGUCGCCCUCGGCAAGAAGCUCCACUUCGACAUCAUCGGCACCCUCAACAUCUACCGCCACGAUCCCUGGGAUCUUCCUGGGAUGGCAAAGAUCGGGGAGAGGGAGUGGUACUUCUUCGUGCCGCGUGACCGGAAGGCGGGGAGCGGCGGGCGGCCGAACCGGACGACGGAGCGGGGGUUCUGGAAGGCGACGGGGUCAGACAGGGCCAUCCGGAGCACCGCCGACCCCAAGCGUGUCAUCGGCCUCAAGAAGACGCUCGUCUUCUACCAGGGCCGCGCUCCGCGGGGCACCAAGACGGACUGGGUCAUGAACGAGUACCGCCUCCCCGACUCCGGCGCGGCGCCUCCCCAGGAGGACACGGUGCUAUGCAAGGUGUACCGGAAGGCCACGCCGCUCAAGGAGCUUGAGCAAAGAGCGUUUGAGAUGGAGGAGAUGAAGCAGAGGUCCGGCGGCAACGGUGGGUACGGCUACAGUGGCGCGGCCAGAGCGUGUCCGCCCCCGGUCCCGGCAGCCGGCGACUUCUACCUGUCUCCGUCCGACGACGUCCAGGAUAACUUCCUGAUCCCCUCCUCCUCGUCGUCGUCGUCAGUGGCGUUGUCCGGCAACAGCAGCUGCCACGACGCGCUCAGGGUAGCCAAGAAGGAAGCAGACGUCGCCACGGUCACCGUCGUGUCGAUGUCGUCUCUAUCGAAAGCUGCGAACGCCCCCUUCCAUCUUCAGCUCCCGGCCGUGAACCCACCCUGCGGCCUCCAGCUCCCGGCGGCGAACCAUGGGAUAUCCAGCCUGCAGCUCCCGGCGGCGAGCCAGGGUGUUGUGGACCUGCCGAGCCUGCAGCUCCCGGCGGCGAGCAGCCACGGAGUGUUCGACUGGCUAAAUGACCCGUUCCUAACGCAACUGCGCAGCCCGUGGCAGGACCAGCAUUGCAUGUCGCCUUAUGCCCAUCUGCUAUACUAG
Molecule: ribosomal RNA, 1044 nt
Filed under: Triticum aestivum (bread wheat)
Lineage: Eukaryota; Viridiplantae; Streptophyta; Magnoliopsida; Poales; Poaceae
Description: partial small subunit ribosomal RNA
Source: RNAcentral